UGGCUAAUAAAUUUAAACAAAGAUAAAUUGAGAAAAAGAGAUAACAUAAACAAAAAAAAUUUAAAAAUAAAUAAAAAUAAUAUAGCUUUAGAUUGAAUUAAAAAAUAAUGAGGCCUUUUAUUGGGUAUUCUAAGCCCAAAACUGAGCCCAUCUCAGCCUUUUCAAAGCAAUAAAAAAAGUUAAAACUUGUUGCACUCACCGAGAAUCGAACUCGGAACCUGCG
This 223-nucleotide long non-coding RNA is filed under the name Solanum tuberosum (potato). RNAcentral describes it as "long non-coding RNA (STUB_LNC008780)". Lineage: Eukaryota; Viridiplantae; Streptophyta; Magnoliopsida; Solanales; Solanaceae. The record is from RNAcentral.